AUUGAACGCUGGCGGCAGGCCUAACACAUGCAAGUCGAGCGGAUGAAGGGAGCUUGCUCCUGGAUUCAGCGGCGGACGGGUGAGUAAUGCCUAGGAAUCUGCCUGGGCGUGGGGGAUAACGUCCGGAAACGGGCGCUAAUACCGCAUACGUCCUGAGGGAGAAAGUGGGGGAUCUUCGGACCUCACGCUAUCAGAUGAGCCUAGGUCGGAUUAGCUAGUUGGUGGGGUAAAGGCCUGCCAAGGCGACGAUCCGUAACUGGUCUGAGAGGAUGAUCAGUCACACUGGGACUGAGACACGGUCCAGACUCCUACGGGAGGCAGCGGUGGGGAAUAUUGGACGAUGGGCGAAAGCCUGAUCCAGCCAUGCCGCGUGGGUGAAGAAGGUCUUCGGAUUGUAAAGCACUUUAAGUUGGGAGGAAGGGCAGUAAGUUAAUACCUUGCUGUUUUGACGGUACCAACAGAAUAAGCACCGGCUAACUUCGUG
RNAcentral lists this ribosomal RNA (484 nucleotides) under uncultured bacterium. RNAcentral describes it as "partial 16S ribosomal RNA". It matches the Rfam family "Bacterial small subunit ribosomal RNA", at positions 30 to 507 of the family's 1533-position model. The record is from RNAcentral.